Molecule: unclassified non-coding RNA, 99 nt
Filed under: uncultured Mycobacterium sp.
Lineage: Bacteria; Bacillati; Actinomycetota; Actinomycetes; Mycobacteriales; Mycobacteriaceae
Description: partial 16S-23S ribosomal RNA intergenic spacer
Source: RNAcentral
GGGGUGUGGUGUUUGAGUUAUGGAUAGUGGUUGCGAGCAUCGAACACCCGAGGUUUUCGGGUGUUGAUGUGCAAUUUUUUUCGAAUUGGUUUACUCAAA